Molecule: ribosomal RNA, 450 nt
Filed under: uncultured bacterium
Lineage: Bacteria
Description: bacterial SSU rRNA
Rfam family: Bacterial small subunit ribosomal RNA
Source: RNAcentral
GUGGGGAAUAUUGGACAAUGGGCGAAAGCCUGAUCCAGCCAUGCCGCGUGUGUGAAGAAGGUCUUCGGAUUGUAAAGCACUUUAAGUUGGGAGGAAGGGCAGUAAGUUAAUACCUUGCUGUUUUGACGUUACCGACAGAAUAAGCACCGGCUAACUUCGUGCCAGCAGCCGCGGUAAUACGAAGGGUGCAAGCGUUAAUCGGAAUUACUGGGCGUAAAGCGCGCGUAGGUGGUUUUGUAAGUUGUAGGUGAAAUCCCCGGGCUCAACCUGGGAACUGCCUCAAAAACUGCAUGACUAGAGUACGGUAGAGGGUAGUGGAAGUUCCUGUGUAGCGGUGAAAUGCGUAGAUAUAGGAAGGAACACCAGUGGCGAAGGCGACUACCUGGACUGAUACUGACACUGAGGUGCGAAAGCGUGGGGAGCAAACAGGAUUAGAAACCCUUGUAGUCC